Long non-coding RNA from Leopardus geoffroyi (Geoffroy's cat), 1855 nucleotides. RefSeq lists it as uncharacterized. The transcript is spliced from 4 exons. Lineage: Eukaryota; Metazoa; Chordata; Mammalia; Carnivora; Felidae. The record is from RefSeq and is a predicted model, not a curated record.
AGAAAAGGGGAAAGGAAAUAAUGAAGAAACGGCCAUUGCUCUGCCAUUUUUCUAUCAGCUUUAGCUGAAAAAAACUGCUUUGAUGUGCUUCAUUACAAGUUAUGUACUUAACAAUAUAAAGGAUAAAGCAUUUUGCUGAAUUGGGAGAGAGAUUUCAACAUUUUCUGAAGGAAAUUCACACCUAAAAUGGAGAAAAGGUUUACAGUGAAGGACUCUGAGGUAUAAAGAAUUAAGAAGAUCAGAGAGGUUCCUGGGAAAUUAUGUAUUCAAAGCCAGAAGACCAAGUUUCUACGUCCUAGUCAUCCUGUGACCCUCCUCCUGUCUGGCUUCUCAUUUGAGGGACCUAUCACAGCUAUCUGACACAACCAUGGUGAUAAACAUAAUCAGCACAGGCACUCCCAUUUUUAGACUUUCAAGGAAAAUAGACUUUGACAUACAUAAAUCUGACUUGAUCUUUAAAACCCUACCAAUAAAAUAGCCCUCUAAUCACACCAUAAGUUUACCAUCAAGAUUUUCACCAAGCUAAAGUGACACACGUAUGGAACUAUCACGAAGAGAGAGUAAAUAUAGUGAGUGACCUCUGAGAAACAACAGGUACAAACACUAGGUUUUGUUCCAGAUGCUCGAGCAAGCUGAGGUCUACCCACUAUUUAAGUGGGAUAGGUAUUUCCCUCAAUUAGUUAUGGAGUCAUACACAACAUCUCUAAAUGGUUCAGAACUCAACUUCUUGCCAGAAAGUGAAAGUAGAACUGUACAGAGUUUCUACUUUAAAGAUGUGGGUAUGCAACUUUUGAAAGCAAAUUGCAAGGUAAAGGACCCACACUAGAUUAGGUCAUUUGAAAAACACUGUUUUAUAGUAUCUUCAAAUGGCGUAUCUGUGCAGUCAUGUUCCCUGCUGAAAUGUGCUCUCUUAUUUUCUCUCUCUCUGAAACAUUGGUAAUACUGGAAUUCUACUAAAGUAAGUAGUUUAGUGGUUUGGGAACUAAUAUCACUGAAGUAAAAAAAAAUUAUAUUUGGAAAUAUUGAAUAACCUUUUUAUCUCUCUUUAAUAAAGAAUGAAACAGACCAAUUUAUAAAGGGAAGUCUAUGAUCUAUGAUCGAUAUCUCUUUGAUAUUUAAGUAGAUUUUUUAUUGGUUUUUGUUUAUAAAACAGUAUCCACUCUUUGCAGGCCUUUCCUAACAGCCUAAUUGUCUUGUCAGUUUGAUUUUAUAUUUUUUAAAAAUUAAAGCUGCUGUAUUAACUUUCUUUACUCAGUUUUGGUUGUCUGCUGAAAGAGGUAACUGAUACGUUCAUGCCCAUAUCCCAUGCGAAUAACUAGAAAGAAUGUCCAUAAAGCUUUGGAGGUGGUUUUAUCAGAGGAAGAUGCUUGCAUCAGAAGCAGUUAUAUGGAAUGUAUGAUGCUUACAUACAUGUGCGUAUUAUUUACAAGGAUUUUAAUCUUUCACCAAUGAGCAGGUGAUGGGUAUGAGUAAUGUUUCUAAAUCCCUAUGUACCACAAUGAGAACAUGAAUUAUCUUUUUAUUAUAGUGUCCCAGAAAGCAAAGGACUUCUUAGAUCAUCUGUUACAUCCCUCACAAAAUUAGGAUUCAUUCCAAGAGGAUGUCUUCCAGGCCUUCUUUAAAGUUCAGGUUUCUUUGGUAAUGAGCAUUUCUCCAUUUUCCAUAAUGUCACUGACUCUGCUUAAGUAGCAUUUCUAAAAAUCAUGUCUAUUUUUAUUUGAUCAUUUCCAUCUUAUUGGUUCUAGGUAUCCACAAGUGGAACCCAUACCCAUUAAUUCCUUUAAGAACUAAAACUACAUUUUUAAUUAGAAAACUGUAAACACAAUUAAGAUAAUAUAACUAAUUCAAACCAAUU